CCCUUCGAGGGUGAGUGGCGCACGGGUGCGUAACGCGUGGGAACCUGCCUUUAGGUUCGGAAUAACAGUUAGAAAUGACUGCUAAUACCGGAUAAUGUCUUCGGACCAAAGAUUUAUCGCCUUUAGAUGGGCCCGCGUUAGAUUAGAUAGUUGGUGGGGUAAUGGCCUACCAAGUCGACGAUCUAUAGCUGGUCUGAGAGGAUGAUCAGCCACACUGGGACUGAGACACGGCCCAGACUCCUACGGGAGGCAGCAGUGGGGAAUAUUGGACAAUGGGCGAAAGCCUGAUCCAGCAAUGCCGCGUGAGUGAUGAAGGCCUUAGGGUUGUAAAGCUCUUUUACCAGGGAUGAUAAUGACAGU
RNAcentral lists this ribosomal RNA (360 nucleotides) under Erythrobacter sp. Ar-48. RNAcentral's name for it is "bacterial SSU rRNA". It matches the Rfam family "Bacterial small subunit ribosomal RNA", at positions 81 to 458 of the family's 1533-position model. The record is from RNAcentral. Lineage: Bacteria; Pseudomonadati; Pseudomonadota; Alphaproteobacteria; Sphingomonadales; Erythrobacteraceae.